Molecule: transfer RNA, 66 nt
Filed under: Calantica studeri
Lineage: Eukaryota; Metazoa; Arthropoda; Thecostraca; Calanticomorpha; Calanticidae
Description: tRNA-Val
Source: RNAcentral
UAAAAGCAAGCUGUUGUAAGCGUUUCAUUUACACUGAAGAGGAUCUUGAAUAAACAAGGCUUUUAA